ACAUUUUUUUUCGGUUUUCGUUAAUUGUUUGAGAUUUUGACUUCAUUCGGUUGAUUGUUUAAUUUUAUAUUCGUUUGAUUGUUUUACUGUUUCUGAUUUGUUCCUUUUUGUUGAGUUAUUUCUGUUUCCAUCAUUAGGGUGUUUAAUAUUCGUUUGUUGUCAAUGGCUUGGAAAUGUUCUGGAAGGGACAAUAUUAAUUUGAUUGAGAAUUUAAAGAGAAAUGGAAUCAUUACUUGUGAUCGAGUUGAAAGGUCAAUGUUAGCGGUUGAUCGGUCCAAUUAUUGUCAAUCUAAUCAUUUCACUGAUGCUCCACAAAAGAUUGGAUUUGCUGUUACCAUUUCAGCUCCUCAUAUGCAUGCUUAUGCUUUAGAGUAUUUUAAAGAUCAUUUGGUUGAAGGUGCAACUGCUCUCGAUGUUGGUUCUGGUUCGGGUUAUUUAACUGCUUGUAUGGCUCAUAUGGUUGGUCCAACUGGUAAAGUCUAUGGAAUUGAUCAUAUUCCUGAACUAGUUGAACAAUCAAAGGUCAAUAUUGAGAAAGAUUCACCUGAUUUACUUUCAUCUGGUAGAGUUACAUUAAUUGUUGGUGAUGGUCGUAAAGGUCAUCAACCAGGAAGUCCAUAUGAUGCUAUCCAUGUUGGUGCAGCAGCUCCAGUUCUACCUGAAGAUCUUGUUAAUCAAUUGAAACCCGGUGGAAGAUUAAUCAUACCUGUUGGUCCAGAGAAAGAAGGACAAAAAUUAGAACAAAUUGAUAAAUUACUCGAUGGAAGUGUCAAACGAACUACAGUUAUGAAUGUCAUUUAUGUCCCAUUAACUGAUCGAGAAGCUCAAUGGCCAACAAAGAAAUGAAUGUUGCUAAAAGAAAACAAUUUUAAACAUAAAUUUUGGCGACAAUAAACUACUCAGUCAAUGGAAUCCAAUUGGAAGGAUUGUAUCGAUUAAUCAAAUAUUGAAUGACUUGAUUAUCGUUAAAUCGGCCUCGAGUCCAACAAUUGGAACAUUGAGUUUGUAAAGGAAAUUGGACUUUUGGAAAGAACGGAUCUUGAGUUGGAUCGCCGGCGA
RNA transcript from Panonychus citri (citrus red mite), 1059 nucleotides. It is a transcript of the gene named protein-L-isoaspartate(D-aspartate) O-methyltransferase-like, with no coding region annotated. Lineage: Eukaryota; Metazoa; Arthropoda; Arachnida; Trombidiformes; Tetranychidae. The record is from RefSeq and is a predicted model, not a curated record. The transcript is spliced from 4 exons.